UGGAAAUGGUCCUUGAGUUUCAAAUGUUCUGGGAAAUCCAGUCAUCUCUGGGCUUCCUCAGUCUCCCUUUCAACUUGCUGAAAUGAGUCCCUCUAGGCUCAGAGUUCUUGCCUGGUCUCAGGUGCCAGCAAUGGCUGCAGGGAAGAUUUCCCACAGUGGGCCUCUGAGGGUGUUUGAGAGAGUCUUGGUCUUUCCUGUCACACAGCUGGUCCUUGACACCAGGCUUCGAAUGUAAAGUAAAGCUAGGGAUGUGCCCACAGCUGGAAGGUACUUGUGUGGCUCAUUUAGGAGUUGACCUGGGUGAAGGACCUUGGGCCCUGGGUAGAGCUGGGGACCCAGCAGAAGCCCCUGGGAUUCCAAGCACCUUUUUCCAUUGUAACAUUUUCAUGCUUUUAUCCAUUUCAUGCUUUGCUGCUGUGGCUUAUUUUCCCCUUGUUUUACCCCCUUCUCUUCUCCCCCCCCCCCCACCACCCAGGGGGAAAUGAGAGUGCCCUUCUUCUCAUUCCAGUCCUCUGUCCUUGGGCUCACACACCAUGGGAAUGAAGGCAUUCAGACUUCCAGGGUGGCACCAGAGAUCUAAGAACCAGCCCACUCUGAAGUCUGGAAUGCAGUGCCUUCGAAUCACCUCUUUGAAAGCCCAGUUCCCCCUGGGGGUCAGGACCACAGCCCCUGGACUGGAGUCCUCUGUGUUUCUCCUUUGUUAGCAAAGCAAUGAAACUUUUUUCUUUUUUCUCAAAACUGUCCUCAUUUAUUGGAUUGGCAUGGGGGGACGGAGGACGAGCUUUCAGUAAGACUGUGUGCUAAAGAACACCCCCCCCCGGGGGGGGCUCACCUGGGGUGUGAAAGCGCUCCCUGGAAGCUGGUCUUCUUUUGUUUUCCCUCACUAGAACCUGGCUCUGGGUUAGACUGCCAGAAAUCCUCUGCCACUGAGACACUCAAGGAUCACACUAGAAAUAAAGUAGAUGUGGUCUACUCUUUUCCCUCCAUAAUGCAAAAUAGAAGAUGGUUGGAAUCUUAACCCAGUUACCACUUUGUGAGAGGUGGGACACCAGAGUUGGCUGCAAGGACUUCACCCUCCUGGCGAGGGGACAGCUGAUGGCAGAACAGAGGUGGAGGUUGCAGGUCCACAUGCCAGCAUGUCACCCAUUUGCCUUUAGGGAGUGUGGGGAGUCGUGUCAGAACCUGCAGGCAAGCCGUGGCUCUGGUUGACCCUGGUGUGCCUCCUGGGUGUACCAGUCAGGAUGGGAAAGAGGAGCGAUGUCUCAAGCCACACCUCUUGGCACCACCCAGACCUCUCAAGGCCAGGAUUGAUUUUGUGGGUAGAGCUGGACUGAAUCAGAUACAUGCUAGUGAUUUUAGCAGCAAUGAGAAAUGACUUUUUGUAAGG
Molecule: long non-coding RNA, 1387 nt
Filed under: Marmota monax (woodchuck)
Lineage: Eukaryota; Metazoa; Chordata; Mammalia; Rodentia; Sciuridae
Source: RNAcentral